AGCAACAUGGCGCAGCUGGAAGCGCGCGGGGCCCAUACUCAAAUGUCACCCCGAGGUCACUCGAUCGAAACGAGUUGUUGCUA
Molecule: non-coding RNA, 83 nt
Organism: Tricholoma furcatifolium
Lineage: Eukaryota; Fungi; Basidiomycota; Agaricomycetes; Agaricales; Tricholomataceae
Source: the annotation of a GenBank genome assembly